GCUGGGCCUGAUGGUGCAUGCCUGUAAUUCCAACUUCUUGGUAGGCUGAGGCAGGAGAAUCACAAUUUCAAGGACAGCCUGAGCAACUUAGUCAGAUCCUGUCUCAA
RNAcentral lists this small RNA (107 nucleotides) under Marmota monax (woodchuck). The record is from RNAcentral. Lineage: Eukaryota; Metazoa; Chordata; Mammalia; Rodentia; Sciuridae.